Molecule: long non-coding RNA, 584 nt
Filed under: Phoenix dactylifera (date palm)
Lineage: Eukaryota; Viridiplantae; Streptophyta; Magnoliopsida; Arecales; Arecaceae
Description: long non-coding RNA (PDAC_LNC002252)
Source: RNAcentral
UCUUCUUCCCCCAAGGUUUUGUUCAAACGAAGAAAAUUAUUUAUGGGAGAAUUUGUUGAUUAUGUUCUUUUUAUGUUUGAUAAAAGUUCAUCUAACCUACUUUUGUGCUUAAAUCAAAAAUUUUAAAAAAUCCAAACAUUGCCAAUCUUCCCCAUCGAAAGGUGCUCUUGGCUUCUAGUCCAUAUGUAGCUUUUGCACCCCAUAGCGAGUAUAGCAAUCUAUUAGCUUGUUGGCUCAUGCAUAUGGACAAACUUUAAUUAUUGUUUAGGUUGUUGGCUCAUGCAUAUGGAUAAAUUUUAGUUAUUGGCUACAAUUGCAAGGCAAUCUCUUGGACCUUGUUUGAUUGUGAAUUAUUUACCAUGGAAGAAAUGGUAUACCCUUGAAUGAAUUACUUUAUAUGAUUUAUUUUAGGUGAAAAAAUGAAAUUGAUGAGCCCCCCUUUUUUGGUAACCAGGCUUCUUCUUUUUUUUGUUGUUGCUAAGGUGGACAUGUCCAACUACAUGAGUUCGGACGCACCCAAUAAAGUCAGAAAAUAAAACAUCACGGAAUGUUUUGGGCAAAUCUGCAUCCCGAGUCCACAAAGU